UUAAUAAAAUCCAAAUUUUAGAGGAACAUCACUGUUAAUGAUGCCAUUAAGAUAUAAAUCUUUUAUUAAA
RNAcentral lists this transfer RNA (70 nucleotides) under Allopsontus sp. 2 JZ-2014. Its description in RNAcentral is "tRNA-Asn". The record is from RNAcentral. Lineage: Eukaryota; Metazoa; Arthropoda; Insecta; Archaeognatha; Machilidae.